AACACCCGGAUGAACUUUUGG
Molecule: microRNA, 21 nt
Filed under: Bos taurus (domestic cattle)
Lineage: Eukaryota; Metazoa; Chordata; Mammalia; Artiodactyla; Bovidae
Description: bta-miR-2285cb
Source: miRBase by way of RNAcentral